Long non-coding RNA from Patella vulgata (common limpet), 2832 nucleotides. RefSeq lists it as uncharacterized. The record is from RefSeq and is a predicted model, not a curated record. Lineage: Eukaryota; Metazoa; Mollusca; Gastropoda; Patellidae. The transcript has 6 exons.
CUCAGUGAAAGACCACACUUGAUCAAUUUAACCGAUAGUUAUGCGAAGGCUGUAUCGAUAUAUUGGACUGGAAGAUAAAGACAACUCUAGUGAAGUCGAGGGGGAUGACUUCUGCGACUGCAGGUAUCGAGCUUUUUUGUAUUGAAUCAGAAGAAAAUAAAGACCAAUAUAAUGAAAUCGAGGAGGAUGACUUCUCCGAUUCUAGGUGCUGUCGUAUCUUUCUGUUGACUUCGUGUCUCAUCCCGAUUUUUACAGGUUUCAUGCUGUUGUCAAUUUGUCCGACAGGGAGUAAAGGCCCUAUUGUUCCGGUCGUAGUUGGUGUGAUCUAUCUUAUCUUCUUCUAUCCGCGCAUUAUUCGACAGUAUUAUAAGAGGGAUACAUGCUACCGAGAAUAUAUUCUAACUGUUCUUCUCAUACUUACUGUAGUUGGAAUAUACAGUGCUGGCUUCAAGUUGUCUUUGGGAGCCCUUAAUGAUGAUCCACGCUGUUACCUAGGGCUUGUGAUUUUUUCUCUAUAUUUUCUGAUACCAGUCGGCGUUAGCCUCGGCUUCCUGGCUAUUGUUUGUUUGAUGGCACAAUUCUAGAAACAAGCUACCUUUUAUGUACAUUAUCACACACAGAUUUAGGUACAAUUGCUCAUCCAUUAAUUGUGAUUCCUCUUUAUACAUUCCCCAGUGUUAAUAUUUCAUUUAUUUAUUUGUGUAUAUAAAUGUAGAGUGACAUAAUGUCAUGGGGCGUCAAGUAAUACCCCAAUAGGUGACCCAUUAGAACAAUUAUUGGCUCUAUACAGUCUCAAUAAAUGAAGUAUACCCGACAUGUUCAAACCUCCUGCAGCCAAAAUGAUUUGGCGGGACGUGGGUUUUGCUGGGCGACCAUGCCGUGUUCCAUGCUCGAUACUGGCGGUGGCCUUUACAUGUACCCCCCACCCCCAACCAGAUUGUAAGUAGGUCUACUGCCAAAUUCAUUGUGACAACAAAUAACGUUUUGAUUGAGUGCCUUCAUCUCAAGGAUAUAUUAAAUUAUCACCGUUGCCCGUUGUUACAUCACUCCUUUUAUUAGAGGUAAAAUGUUAAAACUUUUUAAAACUGUAAUAGGAAAUUUUAAUUGAAUAUAUAUAUAAUCUGUUUUUCUUUUUAGAUAUUUUAUAUAUUCUGUUAUAUUUGCUACCUCUCCUUUUGUUAAGCGGAGCUAUAUAGUAAAAUGUUUUACUUUUUAAAACUUUUAUAUGAAAUUUUAAUUGAAUAUAUAAAAUCUGUUUUUCUUUUUUAAAUAUUUACUGUUCUGUUAUAUUUGUUUUUAUUUGUGUAUAUAAAAUUAUUUUGUGAUUAUAUUUAGUUACAAGUGAAUAUCUGGUGGUAUUAACUAGCACAGCGUCAUGAUGUUCAGUCAGUAUGGGACUUGCUCAAUAACCACAAUGUCCCUUUUCCGUUAGUAAAUAUUUAUGUACAUAAAAUAAUGUUGUGUUUUUUAAUUACAUUUAAUAUUAUUAUUUGUUUUUAUUUAUGUAUAUUUUGUGUUUUUAUUUAUGUAUAUUUUGUGUUUAUAUUUAUGUAAAUUUUGUGAUUAUAUCUGGAAAUGUGGAUGUAUUCUGCACUGACACCGCUUGUUAAUUAUUUACAUACUUGAAAAUAAUUUUAUAUUAUGUUUUUAAUUACAUUUAAUUUUGUCAUAUUUGUUUAUAUUUAUGUAUAUUUUGUGAUUAUAUUUAGAAAUGUGAAUGUGUUUUGAGUGUAAACUGUUUGUUGAAAUAAAAUGCAAUGAAGGGUUUAACGUUCUACCCCGACUGGGCUAAUAAAGAUGAGGCGAAUUUGGGCCUCGGACGACGCCGGAUAUCCUGCUAUUGUUGAAUGGACGAGCGAUGACGUUACCAGGGUGAUAAUGUCUGAAUUUCAAUCUUGUCCCAUAUUAUCAAAAGAAACUUUUAAAAAUAAUUGCAUUGAAAAUGUAUUUGCUCGGUAUCACUAACGCUAAUUAAUUUGAAGUAAUGUGCGAUUAGGUUUGGUUUAUAGCACACACAAUAAGUAAUUUGAAGGUUUGAAAAUACCUAACCUAUUUGUUGUUUUGAAACCUGUAACCGCGUUGCGGUUGAUGAAACUAAAACAACAGAUAAACCCACUGUUGUACAAACAUCACGUUGUGGUCGGCAAAUAAAUAAACCGACUCGUUUUCAAUAACUUUAUUUCAUGUACAUGUCCCUUUAACUUAGUCACUUUAAUUGUAGUUAUAGUGUGUACAUGAGUCAUCGGUCUUUUAUCCAAUCAGCGACCGCGCUAGCGAUCAGCUGACUAAAACGGAUGUCUUGGAAAAAAACUUCUAGAAUGCACGUGUGUGAGAAAAUUCCCUGCGCGAGGCAACUUUAUUUCACCAUCGGGAAAUAAAAUAAAACUGAUUUUAAUUCGGCAUCAUAUGGUAAGAUUUAGCCUAAUAUUAUAACGGAUCUAUGACUCAAAAGUAACGAUGUUUUUAUGUUUAUUAUAUUGUUCAAAAUGUCAUUCGCAUUUGCCUAGUACGGCACUACACUAGUUUAAGUUUAAAGUGACCGUGCCUCGAUUUAUUUUAUUGUCAUUUUUUAUGGACAUAAGUUAAUUAUUGUCAAUCAACCAUAAAUCAUUUUAAAUGUUUAAUGUUAUGGAUAGUAGUUUAUUAUAUAUUAUAGUUGUUAUAUCGUGCUUCAUUUUGUUUUCAGAUUGAAAAGCACGCAAGUGACGUACCAUAUAACGUAACUUUCGUCUACCUACUUCGCUCCACUUUGUAUGUACGCUUGUAUGCAGUACAACCAUUUGUUGACUAUAAAUUAUUGUAUUGAUGGUAAUUAAAAGGACUCAUUGAACU